UACGUAGGGGGCAAGCGUUGUCCGGAAUCAUUGGGCGUAAAGAGCUCGUAGGCGGUCUGUUGCGUCCGCUGUGAAAACCCGGGGCUUAACCCCUGGCUUGCAGUGGAUACGGACAGACUAGAGGUAGGUAGGGGAGAAUGGAAUUCCCGGUGUAGCGGUGAAAUGCGCAGAUAUCGGGAGGAACACCGGUGGCGAAGGCGGUUCUCUGGGCCUUACCUGACGCUGAGGAGCGAAAGCGUGGGGAGCGAACAGG
Molecule: ribosomal RNA, 253 nt
Filed under: uncultured bacterium
Lineage: Bacteria
Description: partial 16S ribosomal RNA
Rfam family: Bacterial small subunit ribosomal RNA
Source: RNAcentral